RNAcentral lists this ribosomal RNA (373 nucleotides) under uncultured organism. RNAcentral describes it as "partial 16S ribosomal RNA". It matches the Rfam family "Bacterial small subunit ribosomal RNA", at positions 527 to 896 of the family's 1533-position model. The record is from RNAcentral.
GUAGGUGGCAAGCGUUGUCCGGAAUUAUUGGGCGUAAAGCGCGCGCAGGCGGUUCUUUAAGUCUGAUGUGAAAGCCCACGGCUCAACCGUGGAGGGUCAUUGGAAACUGGAGAACUUGAGUACAGAAGAGGAAAGCGGAAUUCCACGUGUAGCGGUGAAAUGCGUAGAGAUGUGGAGGAACACCAGUGGCGAAGGCGGCUUUCUGGUCUGUAACUGACGCUGAGGAGCGAAAGCGUGGGGAGCAAACAGGGAUUAGAUACCCUGGUAGUCCACGCCGUAAACGAUGAGUGCUAAGUGUUAGGGGGUUUCCGCCCCCUUAGUGCUGCAGCUAACGCAUUAAGCACUCCGCCUGGGGAGUACGGCCGCAAGGCUG